This 301-nucleotide ribosomal RNA is filed under the name uncultured bacterium. RNAcentral's name for it is "partial 16S ribosomal RNA". It matches the Rfam family "Bacterial small subunit ribosomal RNA", at positions 509 to 807 of the family's 1533-position model. The record is from RNAcentral.
CAGCCGCCGCGGGAAUACGUAGGUGGCAAGCGUUGUCCGGAAUUAUUGGGCGUAAAGGGCUCGCAGGCGGUUUCUUAAGUCUGAUGUGAAAGCCCCCGGCUCAACCGGGGAGGGUCAUUGGAAACUGGGAAACUUGAGUGCAGAAGAGGAGAGUGGAAUUCCACGUGUAGCGGUGAAAUGCGUAGAGAUGUGGAGGAACACCAGUGGCGAAGGCGACUCUCUGGUCUGCAACUGACGCUGAGGAGCGAAAGCGUGGGGAGCGAACAGGAUUAGAUACCCGCGUAGUCCCUGUCUCUUAUAC